GUGGGGAAUCUUGCGCAAUGGGCGACAGCCUGACGCAGCAACGCCGCGUGGGGGAAGAAGGCCUUCGGGUUGUAAACCUCUUUCAGGUGGGACGAAGCUUCGCCGGUGAAUAGCCGUGCGGAGUGACGGUACCGCCACAAGCAGCCCCGGCUAACUACGUGCCAGCAGCCGCGGUAACACGUAGGGGGCAAGCGUUGUCCGGAAUCAUUGGGCGUAAAGCGCGCGUAGGCGGCCAGAUAAGUCCGGUGUGAAAGUCAAAGGCUCAACCUUUGAAUGCCGCUGGAAACUGUCUGGCUAGAGUCCGGAAGGGGCGAGUGGAACUCCUGGUGUAGCGGUGAAAUGCGCAGAUAUCAGGAAGAACACCUAUGGCGAAGGCAGCUCGCUGGGACGGUACUGACGCUGAGGCGCGAAAGCGUGGGGAGCAAACAGGAUUAGAUACCCUAGUAGUCC
Molecule: ribosomal RNA, 450 nt
Filed under: uncultured bacterium
Lineage: Bacteria
Description: bacterial SSU rRNA
Rfam family: Bacterial small subunit ribosomal RNA
Source: RNAcentral